Molecule: transfer RNA, 102 nt
Organism: Tulasnella calospora
Lineage: Eukaryota; Fungi; Basidiomycota; Agaricomycetes; Cantharellales; Tulasnellaceae
Rfam family: tRNA
About the family: Transfer RNA (tRNA) molecules are approximately 80 nucleotides in length. Their secondary structure includes four short double-helical elements and three loops (D, anti-codon, and T loops).
Source: Rfam
GCCGUCAUAGCUCAGUUGGGAGAGCGACAGACUGAAGCUUAUGUAAUCACGAUUACGUAAUCAACCUUCUGCAGGUCACCCGUUCGAUCCGGGUUGACGGCA